GGGGAAUAUUGCACAAUGGGCGAAAGCCUGAUGCAGCAACGCCGCGUGAAGGAAGAAGGGUUUCGGCUCGUAAACUUCUAUCAAUGGGGAAGAAACAAAUGACGGUACCCAAAUAAGAAGCCCCGGCUAACUACGUGCCAGCAGCCGCGGUAAUACGUAGGGGGCAAGCGUUAUCCGGAAUUACUGGGUGUAAAGGGAGCGUAGGCGGUAUGAUAAGCCAGAUGUGAAAGCCCGAAGCUUAACUUCGUGGAUUGCAUUUGGAACUAUCAAACUAGAGUACAGGAGAGGUAAGUGGAAUUCCUAGUGUAGCGGUGAAAUGCGUAGAUAUUAGGAAGAACACCAGUGGCGAAGGCGACUUACUGGACUGAAACUGACGCUGAGGCUCGAAAGCGUGGGGAGCGAAC
Molecule: ribosomal RNA, 404 nt
Filed under: uncultured bacterium
Lineage: Bacteria
Description: bacterial SSU rRNA
Rfam family: Bacterial small subunit ribosomal RNA
Source: RNAcentral